GGGGGGCUUUGGCUGAAGAACCUCUGAUGCCAAAGUUAGAAUUUAGAGAGAAAAAGUGUUUAGAGAGUUUUCGGAAUUUUGCAAGAGUGUGAACCUCCCUUUUUGGAGAAAAUAUAUAGAGUAUGGCCGGUCCCCUUUGGAGACUAGGUGGCUGGCCUUUGGGAUGUUUUUUGGGUGUUAUUUGGUGAUUUAAUUAGCAAUUAAUAUAUUGAUUAGGAAUAAAUAUAUUAAUUGGCUAAUUAACAUAAUAAAAGGAAUGUUUUUGGGAGGUUAUGGAAUGAAUAAAAUAAAUAGCUAAUUGAUUAGCUAAAAAAGGGAGAAUGAGGUAAAAAAUAUAUGGAAUGAAAUAGGUUUUGGAAGUUACCUUGUAGAAGGGACUUGAUGAGAUAGGUUUUGAAUUGUUACCUAUUUUGGGCACUUUUGAUUUAGUUGAAGGAUGAUUGCCCGCUGCUCAUGCGUAGAAAUCACGUUGUACCUCAAGGGUAUUUUGUCUUUUGUCCAAAGAUCCACGUGUCGCCUUGUGAUUAUUUUUGGCUUCACAAAUGCCCCCACACUUGUUGGGCUGUUCACAGAAAAGGGCAACAGGUGUAGAGAUUUUCCUGCAUUAGGAAACUUUAAAUUGUUUCUGAUUUUGAUGUUGAUUCCCUAUUUCAUAGGAAAUUAGAUCAUUCUAGGAAAUAGAAAUAAAUUUCUCUCAAACCCUAUUUAAAUCCACCUUAAGUGGGUUAUCAAAUCAACUUUGGAGAGCGAUUUAUUCUACCAUACAGGAGAGAGAGCUUAGAGGAUAUUUGUUCCCCCUCCUCUAGCAAUCUUUUACAUCUUGCCUGUGCAAAUGACCGUCUUUCGUUGAUUUCUUCGUCUUCUCCGUGCCGCACCGAUGUAAGAAAAAUUUAAUUUUUCUUGUUUUCUUCUUGGAUAGUGCUAUCGCGGGGCAGCCGUCAGGGUGGUGCAUCACGUCAACUGGCAGGGGCCAAGAGUCGGCUCGGUAUAGGCUGAGGAGGUGUUGUGGCAAAGACCACUGCUUUAAGUUGCUUAACUUAGCUAGGGCCAUAGACAGCUUGUGCGGUUGGGGCUGCGAAUUGAAACGAUGGGAUGUAGUGCUAGACGAGCUGCAUGGCUCAUGUCUUUUGGGCUCUUGGUCAUGACGCUGGCUAGGUCGGUGAUUGAGAGAAAGGAGAAGGUUGCGGGCCUCAUGAGCUGCUGAAACGCUAGGUUGAGCUCCCCUGCUGAGUACAGUGAAUGGCGUUGGUUGCUUAUUUCUCUUUGCCAAGAGAAAUGUGGACUGCUCUCGAAAGAUAAUGUAAAAAUGAUCAAGGCGGAUGCAUUGGUUUGUUUGAUCUCUGUCGUGGAGCCCACUAUGAAUGAAGAUAGAAAGAAGAGAUAUUCCUCACCUGCUCAAGAGAUGCCGGUUGAGAAAAACUGAAGACUUCCUCUGCUGCUCAUGAGGGUCUGCCUGUUGCUGAGAUGCCUGUGAUUAACAUAACUUCUUCCAAUGGGAAGAAACAAUGAGGCUGCUCGAUAUGUGCCUGUGGCGCCUACCAUGUCAAGAAUGGCUAGUACGAUUGCUGAUAGGAUUACUCAGCGUAAAUGUCCUGUCAUGCCCCUAGUGUCGAAGUCUGUAUCAAGAUGUCUCUUGGGAGCUAAGUCCGGUUCACCUUUGGAGAGGCUUGCUACUAUGAAUAGCGAUAAGGUGGACUCUGCUGCUAAAGUGACGCCAAGGCCCACUCCCUUUGCUACUGAGACUAAUUUGCCUUCUAAGAAAAAUGAGAUUGCUCGCGUGGGCAGCUGUGAGAAAUCCACUAAGCCUGCUUCUGGGGAGGCUACUGAGAUCUGUGUGCUUUUGAAACUAGAUCUGCUUGAAGACAUAGACGUUUGUGCCAAGUUUACUGAUGGCAUUAGAACGGUUGUUUGCCCAAGUUCCUUUGCGAAGCAUACGACCUAAUAUAGAAGGACUACUCUGCUUACUAUUAUGCAUAUAUAGCAAGGCUGCCAAAGAGAUGGCGAAGACUAUGGCAGUUGAAGCUUAUUCUUCAACCGACGAGAUCAAGAGGUUGGAUUCUGAGCUUGUUGCUUUGAAGGGGUCUAAUAUUUCUGCCCCCACUUCUCUGCAGCUUGAGACCGCUCGUCACUUGAUCGUUGACUUGAAGACUAGGUUUGACGCGAUCCAAGUUAAGUAUGAAAGUACAGAAAAUGAGAUUAGAUGUUACAUACCUCAAAUUCAAGAUCUUGAGUUUGCAGUUUCUGAGCUUCAUUUCGCUGCUUAUGCAAAGGAUGAAGAGUUGAUUGCUGCUUAUAAUCAAGUGAUCCACUUCAAGAGAAUCGUCGAUAGGCUUGAACCCCCAAGUGUUGGAACUUCAAGGUGUACUGAAGAUCAAUGAAAGUUUGAAGAAGGAAGUGGAUGAGUUGCAACGCGUCCGUGUUGGUCUACUUGAAAAGAAUGAGCAUCUGAAGGGUGAGAAGGAUUAGCUUGAGGUUUUGAGAUCUUUUCUAUUUCUCUAAAAGACUUGCUUGCUUUUACUUUUGAGGCUUCCAUUGGUGAAGUAAUUGGAGAAAUUAGUGCCCAGGUUGGGGCGGCUAGGGGUGAAGCAUUGAAACGUCGCGGCUGUUGAAGGUGUGGCGACCGAGUAGUCGUGGGAUGUCCAAGCUGCUGUAGUUUUCUAGGUAGCCUUUAGGAUUUUAUUUGUUUUUCCUUGUAGCUCUUGUUUUGCUUGAACUCAUUAGGCCUUUUCUAAUUGUUUUUAAACAUGCUUCAUUCGCUUAUCUUCAUCUUCACUUCUUUUGUUCAUGCCCUAACCUUUAAACUUGAUAGACCAGUGGCAGGCAUGCUACUUUUUUAUAAGCAGACAAGCUCGCAUAGCCUAUGCAGCCGUAGGUGUUAGUGUAGAACUUUGCAAAGUUGUUGGCCAUAGGGUUGGCAGCCGAAUGCCUUACUUACAGAAGCAGACAAGUUCGCGUAACCACUACGCUGUUAACCUUGGCUUUCUCCAAUUUCGUAGGUUGCGUAUCAAGUAUCACAACACUUUAGGACUUGGUGUAGGUUGUUCUGCGUAUGGCAGAGGUGAAGCUUAUCGACUACGUAACAUGUCGGUAAUGGAUAAAGCUUUGUAUAUGCACACUAGCUUGUUUAACCUUUCAUAAGAAUGUGCGGUCGUAUAAGUCUAGCGCGAUUUUAUUGCUCGAAGCGUAAGUCGUAGGCAGUCUUCUAGAAAUCGUAGGCUACCUUAGUGCACUCGGUAGCAGCUUUAAGGUUCCAGGGUAGCCGUCUAUUGGAUGUAUUGCGUAAUGUGCCCCAUCUGUCUCUAGGGCCCGGUUCCCCACGAAUUAGGCCAAGAGACCCACAAUCCUUUAGUUAGUUAAGCCUUGAAAAAGACAAUUAUAGCUACUUCUAGGAAUCCCGACGCAAGCCAUCGUGCAUCUAGUUAUACUAGGGCAGCCCGACUCAUCCACGUAUGGAUAUUCGGAGUGUAAAGUUUAUCCUCCUGUCUUGGAGAGCUGACCCAUAUGGGUGUCAGGGAAUUGGUUUACCUUAUCGCACUGAAGAGCAAUUAGUUUACCCUUUCGCAUUGGAGAGCAUGGUUGGUCCUUUGGAUGGCUCAAUUCUUGCGAUGAGUCCCUAAGAAGGGUGCAGUUUUCCUUUAAAGUGGAGGAAUGAUCAAUUGUUGUAAGCAUGCAGCCAAGCCAAGUUGUGAUUACUUCUGCAUUCCUCAUUGAAAAACGAGUGAAACGAACGAGAACUUAACUGUAAGGUAGGAACUGCAUAACAACUGGAUGGUCCUUAGCUUGUGAGGUGGAGCCCGUCAAGCUGCUUGAGUCUUCGGGCUUUGAUGUAGCGAUAGGUCACACAUGGUACUUUCUCAGAUUGUAGGUGUUCCACUGCUUUUCAAUCUUUUUGUCGUUUCAUGUGUUGAAAGUAUGCCCACAAAGCCACUCAUUUGAUGUAAUAGCUUUUUGGAAUACUUAAUGUAUUAAACUUUCAUAUGUUUAAUGAAAGGCAAAGCUUAUUGUUAAUCACUAUUUAUUGUAUCAUGUGUUUAAGCAAUAAGGGAAUCCUAGGGAUGUAUUUGAUCUAAGAGACAAGUGAUCUAAGUGAGUUAGAUUAACGAGACCAUUCUCUUAUGUUCAUUCCAAAAACGUUCCUAACCAUAGGAUUGCCAAUUAGGUAUUGACAAUCCGCUAAGGUUAGUAUGUGUUAUGUUGACUCAAGCGUGAGUAUGACUAGUCUCAAGUCAUUUAGUGUUGGACACUAAGACAAACACAUAGGUGCUCGAAAGAGUAAUCGAGUACACUGAACGAUCAAAAGAGAGUUCGAACAUACAUGUCAUGUAAGAACUCGAAAAUUGCAAUAUCCAAAGUAGUCCUUUGACCUGAGGCAUCAUAGAUGUCUAAUGGUUAGGUCUUUGAUCUUUGAUCAUGUUAAAUGGCAUUCCAUUGGAGUGUCCACGGCAUUGUUGGGGUCAAGCUAUCUAGUCAUGUAGGCAUAUGAAUGCACAACAAGGGAUCUCUAACCUUCCAUGGUGGAAGGAGAAUACUCUAAGAUAUGAUUCUAAAGUCUUUGGCCAAAGCAUAUGAAUAUGACUUAGGAAGUUUGUUCCAAAUCAUAUUCAAGGGAAUCAUAUAGAUAAGUAUCACAUUGGAUAGUAGACAUGAAACCAACUAUCACUCAAACAAUGUGAUUAAGAGUAUUGUAUUAGAGAAUGACCGUAUUGCAUUGUAGUUGUAACUGGAUAGGUUCUCCAACCACUUCUACUUAGCUUGGGUAACCAUGACAUACUGCUAGGUGUCACUCAUGGUUUGUGGAAGCCCUAAAUGAUUAGCAAACACUAAUCAUUAAGGGAGAAUUGAAAUGUGGUUUCAAUUCACAAUCGAUCGUUAAGAGUAACAAUCGCCCACUACCUCGCUAAUUGGAACCUAAUGGAUCGUACACCGAGUAAGGAUGUAUGUGAGGAAAUUAAAUAAAAUGGAUAAGCAAUUAAAUGGUUUAAUUGAUGAAUGGUCAAGAUUAAUUAAUUAGUUAAUUAAUUUUACGAAAUGUUCGUAUUGGGCUUUUAAGUUGGUUUUGGGCUUCGUGUCCCAAAAGCGUUUUGGUCCAAAAGGCCCAUUAUGUUUAAGUUGUAUGACAACUAAAACAAAAUGGGCAAAUAGCCCAAUAACAUUAAUAUGGCCGGCCAUUAGGGUGAAUGGGCAAGCUUGGAUUAAUUACAAGUUUGCCACUCACUUGAAAUGAAGUAUAAAAGGAACUUUAUGGCUUUAUUUGUCAUAAGGGUUUUCUUAAAGAAAUUGGGUGAAACACUUUCUCUCAUUUUUCUCUAAAGAGGCCGGCCACUUAGGGGAGGGACAUCUAGCAAUCUCUUCUUCCCUAAGUCAUCCAUAUUAUCUUCACAAGAUACAUCCUUGGUGUGGAGACUUAGAGACAUCAAAUUUUUGGUGUUUUGGAGAACAAAUCCUCAAAUCCUCAAAGAAGCAAAGGAGUACUAAAAGGAGGAAAUCACAAGGAAUAUCCAAGGAGCUUGGAGGUGACUUGAAGGCCCUCCACUUGGGUGAAUCCCUUGUGUAAACAAGGAUGAGCUUCAAGGGUAAAGAAACUCUAAAUCUUUACUUCUCUUUAAUGUUGUUAAAGAGUUUAUUGGUUCACCAUACACUAGGCUUUGAAAGUCAUGGGUUUUAUGAAUUGUUUUUUAAUGCAUGCCUACUUUAAAGUGUUAAUAGUAUGCAUAUGUAUUCAAAUGUUCUUACUUGUUCUUAGCUAGGACAAAAUUUUUCCUUCAAGUGGUAUCAAAGCCUAGGCUUAGUUUAUGGUGAAUCCUUUUGGGUUUUGUGAUUUUCAUGAUUUAUGAUUUAAAUGUUGUAAAUGUUACAAGCUUUGUUCUUGCUUUUGAAUAUAUAAAUUUUGUUAGAAAAUUUAGCAUCUCAAAUGUCGUAGAUGUAUUUCAUUUAAGCAUGAAUGUUGGAACUAAAAUUUGGUGCCAUGUAUUUUGGGAAUUUCGGCCAAAUCCUUAGGGUGAUUUUUUGGGUUCAUGUUUGUCUUGUUAAAAUGGUUUUAAGGUGACUUUUGGAACCCCUAAGUACCCUAGGAUAUUAGCCCUCUUUUGAGUGGUGAAAAAUUGAGUUUUGGUGAGUGAAAACAUCCAUGGAGCUAUUAUGAGUUUUCAUGGUGUUCUUCAAUGUUCUUGAAGUUCUUGCCAAGAACAAAAAGGUUUUGAAUUUUUGAUUCAAAAGUUUUAUGUUUUUCAUAAAGUUUUGGUUUAAUUUUGAUGGGUGAUAGUUAUUGGUGAAGCAUUAAUUUUGGCUUUAAUGUUUGACAAAACUUAUUAAUGUUUUACAAAACAUUUUCUUACAAACCAUCAAUUUCACCUUUACCUCACCCACCAAAAUCAAGUUGCAUAAAAUCCCUUUCACACUCAUUCACACCUCUAAAACCGGCCACCCCCUAGUGGGGGUACUUUUGGGGUCUUUUAUGCAAUUACAUAAAGUUUUGAUACUUUUGUGUAUUUGCACUUUGGCCCAAAAGUUUACAUUUUUACGUUAAGGCCCAAAAACUCUAAAGGACGAAUUGUUUUGAUCCUUUAAUGAUGUUUUUACAUUAAUAAAAUUUUGGGAUCUAGUUGUAAUUACAUGAAGUUGUGGACUAUUGUGUUUUUACAAAGUGACCCCAAAAGUUUUUGUAUUUGCAUUAUGGCCCAAUUGUUGUGGUCAUAGUUUCCUUUUGGCCCAAAUAAAAUGAGAACAAAAAUUGUUUUGUCUCUUUAAUGAGAAUUGGAUUUUCAUUUCAUUUAGUUCCCUUUAAAUCAAUUCUAUGGAUCCAAAAACCAAUUGUUUAAGUUGCUUUCUUAGAUAAUGUGAUUAAUUGAGAAAAUGGUGAUUAUGAACCAAAGGCCUCGAUAAUUGAGCUAUGUGAUUGGCCGCUUUACAUUAUGAAUGUUUGGGUUUGGUAGUGUAGAUUUGAAUGUAAUUUGAUUAAUUCAAUUUGUUGUAAAUGGACAUAAGUCCAUCAUUUGUGUUGUAAAAGGGCAUAAGCAUUCUUAUUAUUUCAUGUAUUCCUUUUGUUUAUAUGUAUGCAAAAUGGAAUAGUUGGGUCCAACGCCCAAUAGGAAAUAACGGUUUAAUUGGAUUAAACGCGUAACUAAAAUCAACAACUAUCUACCUUAAACCCAAGGUCCAACACAAGGCUCGUGUUGGAUCAAAUUAAUCGGUUCAUAAUCAUCCUAAGACCUAAUAUAACUAUAUAGCCCAUAUGAGGAUGCAAUGCAUUCGUUAGUAGUUCCAUAUAGUCUCACUUAUUUCUUCGAAAUAGUGGCAGUAUUAUAAACUACUAAAAUCAUAUUAACUUGGACCAAUAGUGUGAUAGGCCCAUGUUCUUUUAAUAUGAUUAAAAUGAUUUUGAUGUAGCCCAAAACUACUCCCUCGACAAACGAAUAUUAAGUUGAUAAGCGAGAGAUGUUUUGAACAUCUCUUCGUAGGCCUUCCACCGUGGUGGGCUCCAAUCGUUUGUGACUCAUGCACCGGCUUCACCCUAUCAUGGGGGAGUUCAAAGUAUGUGCUUACAUCCAGGAGGAGUCCAUAAACAUAUGAUGAGGUGAGUGUAGGCAACGAGGAUAGCCGACAUCGUAUCAUCGUGAGGCUAUUCUUGAACCCCUUCACAAACUAAGCAUGGUGGGAAUAACUUAAAACUAAGUGCAAUGGAGCCGACAUCGUAUAUCAUCGUGAGGCAAAAUUCUCUAGAGGCCAAACGGAUGGGUAAUUACAAAAAGGUUGUAAAUGAAUAAUGCGUUAUUCUCUCAUCAUUAUUUUUGCUAACCAACAUCGUAUCAUCGUGAGGUGGGCUUGGUAAUGGUGAGUCUCCCAUACCCCACUAAGAGUUCAAUAUAACUCUCGAAUUCUAUUGAGGGAUGUGGAAUUUGCCAAAAAUAGUGGGUGGUACUAUUUGAUUCAAAGACCCAAUCAAAUAGUUUUAAACAAACAAUCUAAUACGAUUUCUGUUAUGUUAUGUAGUUAACGACAUGCCUAAAAAUUAUACCCACCAUUAUACUUGACAAAAAGGGCCUUAAGGGCCAACGUUUCCUUGCUUGGUAUCGCCACAUUGAGAAUGUCUCAAAGGUGAAAGACAUAUUGUAUGUGCUUAAGAAAUCCCCUCCUCAUAUACCUCCUACGAAACUAGCUUCAAAUGAGGAGUGUCAAAAUAAUGUUAGACACUAUGAGGAUGAUUUACAAGCCAAAUGCUUAAUCCUUACUUCACUUAGUGAGGAGCUUAUGAAACUACAUAAGCACAUGGAUACUUCUUGUGCCAUGGUUGAAAGUUUGCAUAAGAUGCAUGACAUUGAGACUAGUAAUGUACGAUUCUCAAAUGUUUGUAGUCUAAUGAAUGCCAAAAUGGCAAAGAGGACAUCGGUCCAUAAACAUGGACAAAAGAUGGAAAAGAUAUUUAAAGAUCUUAAAAGUUUAGGAACUUCCAUCGAUGGGAAAAUGGCCCAAGACUUUUUCCUUGCAUCUCUCUCGGAUGAUUUCACUAAGUUUAUUGUAAACUAUAAAGUGAAUAGAUUCGAUCAUGCUUUAAACGAGAUGAUUGACAUGUGCUGUAAAUUUGAAAGAGGUUUCAAAAGGGACAGUGGGAGUGAGAAUGCAAUCACAAGGAAAAGGUUGCAUAAAAAGAAGGCAAAGAAAUCCAAAGGAACAUGCUUUCAUUGUGGAAAGGAUAAACGUUGGAAGAAGAAAUACAGGGUACGCAUUGCGAGCCUUAUGACACGAACUUUUGAAAAGACUAUUUCUGUCAUAGAUAGUGCUUUUACAGUGAGCUCCAAUUCCUGGAUAUUUGAUUCAGGCGCUAGUCAACAUAUCUGUAAUACGAUGCAGGGACUAGCGGAGAGCAAAUCACUGCGCAAUGGGGAGAUGGUUGUGCGAGUUGGGAACGGCACUAAAAUCUCUGCAAAAGCAAUAGGCACCUACAUGCUUAACCUACCCUCUGGGGAAGUCCUGGAACUUAAAAAUUGUUUAUAUUUUCCUUCAUGUAUAAAGAAUUUGAUUUCCAUCUCUAAGCUUUUACGAGAUGGGCACUCAGUAUUGUUUGACAAAAUGAGUUGCACUUUAUACUUGAACGGUCGUAUUAUCUCUCAUGGUAAUAUGAUAGAGGGACUUUUUCACCUAGAGACGAAUAGUGGGAUGCACUGUAUUGCAAGCGGGAAUACCUCAAAACCCAAAAAGGCUAGAGAAGAAGUUAACCAAGAAAAGAUGUGGCAUCUUAAACUUGGACAUGUGAACCUUGAUAAGAUUCACAAGAUGUCGAAAGACGGAUAUAUCCACCCAUUAGGUAAUGACCAGAUGGGUACUUGUGAAUGUUGCUUGAAAGGGAAUAUGACCAAAUCUCCAUUUACUGGAAAAGGAGAGCGUGCCACUGAAAUUCUAGGGUUAAUCCACACUGACGUAUGUGGACCUAUGUCUACUACGUCGAGAGGAGGCUUCUCCUACUAUAUCACAUUCACCGACGAUCACUCUCGAUUUGGCUAUGUGUAUCUUAUGAAGUACAAGUCAGAAUCCUUUGAAAGGUUCAAGGAAUUCAAGAAUAAAGUUGAGAAGCAAACUGGGAAACAGAUAAAGAUCCUAAGAUCGGAUCGAGGGGGUGAAUAUCUGAGUAAUGAAUUCCUAGAUUAUCUCAAAGAGUGUGGAAUAAUAUCACAGUGGACUCCACCAGGAACUCCACAACUUAAUGGAGUUUCUGAAAUGAGAAAUCGAACUUUAAUGAACAUGGUUCGUUCUAUGAUGAGUUCCGCUGAUCUACCAAUAACAUUCUGGGGAUACGCUCUAUAUACAGCAGCUUACUUGCUUAAUAGAGUACCUUCCAAAUCAGUAUCACAAACGCCCUAUGAGAUAUGGCAUGGAAGAAAGCCAAGUCUUAAUCAUGUUAAGAUUUGGGGUUGUGAAGCAUAUGUCAAGAAGCUUGAAGCUACUAAGCUCGAAGCGAGAUCAGUAAGGUGCUAUUUUGUGGGAUAUCCUAGAGAAACUAUGGGAUAUGAGUUCUACCAUCCAGACGACCAGAAAGUCUUUAUCGCCAGAACUGCUAAGUUUCUAGAGGACGAAUUCGUUCUCAAAGGAACUAUAAGCAAAGAGAUGGAAAUUAAUGAGAUUAAUAAUGAACCACAAACAAGCACUCGACAUAUUGACAACCCUGUUCCUGAACCCCUAGCUCCACGUAGAUCUGAACGGGUUAGUAAGCCACCUAAGAGGUAUGGCUUAGACAAUGACUUUGCGGAAUUGCACCUUUUAGGUGACAAUGACACAAAGAAGGACCCUAGGGACUACACUGAAGCAAUGUCCGACAUUGAUUCAAAGAGAUGGCAAGAGGCCAUGAAAUCCGAGAUGGAUUCCAUGUAUCAAAAUCAGGUCUGGACUCUUGUAGACCCUCCAGAAGGUAUUAUACCUGUUGGAAACAAAUGGGUCUUCAAGAGGAAGAUAGGCGUUGAUGGGAAUGUGGAGACUUAUAAGGCUAGACUAGUAGCCAAGGGUUACAGGCAAAGAGAAGGGAUUGACUAUGAAGAAACUUUCUCUCCUGUAGCCAUGAUUAAGUCCAUUCGGAUUUUGCUUGCUAUAGCUGCAUACCAUGAUUAUGAGAUAUGGCAAAUGGACGUGAAGACGGCCUUUCUGAACGGCUACCUAGAGGAAGAGCUCUAUAUGACUCAACCCGAAGGUUUCGUGUCCAAGUCUGAAAAGACUAAGGUAUGCAAGCUUCAAAGGUCCAUUUAUGGACUUAAGCAAGCCUCUAGGAGCUGGAACAUUCGUUUCGACACUGAAAUCAAAACGUUUGGUUUUACUCAAAACGAAGACGACAAUUGUGUUUAUCAAAAGGUCGUUGGGGAUGCAGUUGUAUUCCUAGUGUUAUAUGUAGAUGACAUAUUACUAUUCGGGAAUGACAUUGCAAUACUUUCUUCUGUAAAAGUGUGGUUGUCCAAAACCUUCCACAUGAAAGAUUUAGGAGAUGCAUCUUAUGUACUUGGGAUAAAGCUCUAUCGUGAUAGAUCCAGAAGACUAAUUGGAUUAUCCCAAUCUAUGUAUAUUGAUAAGGUGCUAAGUAGGUUCCAGAUGGAACAAUCUAAGAAAGGUUUUCUUCCUGUUAGACAUGGAAUUCACCUUUCUAAGUCCAUGGAACCUAAGACUCCUUAAGAGAUACGGCAAAUGAAUACUAUUCCUUAUGCUUCCGCCAUAGGGAGUCUCAUGUAUGCCAUGAUAUGCACAAGGCCUAAUAUCGUAUAUGCUGUGAGCAUUACUAGUCGAUAUCAAUCUAACCCAGGACCAGAACACUGGGCAGCUGUCAAGACGGUCCUUAAGUACUUAAGAAGAACUAAGGACAUGUUCUUCGUAUAUGGAGGAGCGGCAGAGUUGCGAGUGGAAGCCUAUACAGACGCAGAUUUCCAAUCUGACGUCGAUGAUAGAAGUUCCAACUCCGGAUAUGUAUUCACUCUGAAUGGUGGGGCUGUCAGUUGGAAGAGCAAGAAACAAAGUGUAAUUGCUGAUUCCACAACAGAGGCUGAAUAUGUCGCUGCAGCUGAAGCCGGCAAAGAAGCGUUCUGGAUGAAGAAGUUCAUCACUGAACUUGGAGUGGUUCCAACCAUUACAUCACCAAUAACUUUGUACUGUGAUAAUAGUGGGGCGAUAGCUCAAGCCAAGGAACCCAAGGCUCAUCAAAAGAACAAGCAUUUUGACAGGCGCUUUAAUAUCAUUAGAAGAUAUGCUGCCGAGAGGAAAGUCAACAUCCUCAAAGUUGCCUCAGCCGAUAACGUAGCAGAUCCACUGACGAAGCUAAUGUCUCAAAUCCAACUUGACCGCCACAUGGAAAAGAUGGGUAUUAGAUACAUGAGAGGAUGGCUUUGAGUGCAAGUGGGAGAUUGUUGGAAGUAUGCCCACAAAGCCACUCAUUUGAUGUAAUAGCUUUUUGGAAUACUUAAUGUAUUAAACUUUCAUAUGUUUAAUGAAGGGCAAAGCUUAUUGUUAAUCACUAUUUAUUGUAUCAUGUGUUUAAGCAAUAAGGGAAUCCUAGGGAUGUAUUUGAUCUAAGAGACAAGUGAUCUAAGUGAGUUAGAUUAACGAGACCAUUCUCUUAUGUUCAUUCCUAAAACGUUCCUAACCAUAGGAUUGCCAAUUGGGUAUUGACAAUCCGCUAAGGUUAGUAUGUGUUAUGUUGACUCAAGCGUGAGUAUGACUAGUCUCAAGUCAUUUAGUGUUGGACACUAAGACAAACACAUAUGUGCUCGAAAGAGUAAUUGAGUACACUGAACAACGAUCAAAAGAGAGUUCGAACAUACAUGUCAUGUAAGAACUCGAAAGUUGCAAUAUGCAAAGUAGUCCUUUGACCUGAGGCAUCAUAGAUGUCUAAUGGUUAGGUCUUUGAUCUUUGAUCAUGUUAAAUGGCAUUCCAUUGAAGUGUCCACGGCAUUGUUGGGGUCAAGCUAUCUAGUCAUGUAGGCAUAUGAAUGCACAACAAGGGAUCUCUAACCUUCCAUGGUGGAAGGAGAAUACUCUAAGAUAUGAUUCUAAAGUCUUUGGCCAAAGCAUAUGAAUAUGACUUAGGAAGUUUGUUCCAAAUCAUAUUCAAGGGAAUCAUAUAGAUAAGUAUCACAUUGGAUAGUAGACAUGAAACUAACUAUCACUCAAACAAUGUGAUUAAGAGUAUUGUAUUAGAGAAUGACCGUAUUGCAUUAUAGUUGUAACUGGAUAGGUUCUCCAACCACUUCUACUGAGCUUGGGUAACCAUGACAUACUGCUAGGUGUCACUCAUGGUUUGUAGAAGCCCUAAAUGAUUAGCAAACACUAAUCAUUAAGGGAGAAUUGAAAUGUGGUUUCAAUUCACAAUCGAUCGUUAAGAGUAACAAUCGCCCACUACCUCGCUAAUUGGAACCUAAUGGAUCGUACACCGAGUAAGGAUGUAUGUGAGGAAAUUAAAUAAAAUAGAUAAGAAAUUAAAUGGUUUAAUUGAUGAAUGGUCAAGAUUAAUUAAUUAGUUAAUUAAUUUUACGAAAGGUUCGUAUUGGGCUUUUAAGUUGGUUUUGGGCUUCGUGUCCCAAAAGCGUUUUGGUCCAAAAGGCCCAUUAUGUUUAAGUUGUAUGACAACUAAAACAAAAUGGGCAAAUAGCCCAAUAACAUUAAUAUGGCUGGCCAUUAGGGUGAAUGGGCAAGCUUGGAUUAAUUACAAGUUUGCCACUCACUUGAAAUGAAGUAUAAAAGGAACUUUAUGGCUUUAUUUGUCAUAAGGGUUUUCUUAAAGAAAUUGGGUGAAACACUUUCUCUCAUUUUUCUCUAAAGAGGCCGGCCACUUAGGGGAGGGACAUCUAGCAAUCUCUUCUUCCCUAAGUCAUCCAUAUUAUCUUCACAAGAUACAUCCUUGGUGUGGAGACUUAGAGACAUCAAAUUUUUGGUGUUUUGGAGAACAAAUCCUCAAAUCCUCAAAGAAGCAAAGGAGCACUAAAAGGAGGAAAAUCACAAGGAAUAUCCAAGUAGCUUGGAGGUGACUUGAAGGCCUUCCACUUGGGUGAAUCCCUUGUGUAAACAAGGAUGAGCUUCAAGGGUAAAGAAACUCUAAAUCUUUACUUCUCUUUAAUGUUGUUAAAAAGUUUAUUGGUUCACCAUACACUAGGCUUUGAAAGUCAUGGGUUUUAUGAAUUGUUUUUUAAUGCAUGCCUACUUUAAAGUGUUAAUAGUAUGCAUAUGUAUUCAAAUGUUCUUACUUGUUCUUAGCUAGGACAAAAUUUUUCCUUCAUCAUGGUGGCGAUGGUGUAAUUAUUUUUGCUGCCUACUCUGUUGAUCUUGUAUGAACCUUCCCAGAUGGGACCCAUCUUUUUGGAGCAUUCUUUGUGGGCAAUGAUGAAGGCUUUUCUUAGGACUAGAUCUCCGAGUUGGAAUUACUGGAUCUUGGCCCUUUUGUUGUAGUGGUGAGGAGCUGCUACUGAUAGGCUACAAUGCGGGUGAUGGUCUGCUCGCGCUUCUCCUCUGCCAGAUCUAAGCUUGUGGCCAUCUCAUUACUGUUCUACUCAAUGCUUGGUAAUAGAGUAGUGAUACUUGGCUUGAUGACAUUCAGAUGAAUGAUUGCUUCUUAGCCAAAUGCCAAAGAGAAAGAAGUCUCACGGUUGCUCGUCUUUUGGUGGUGCGAUGUACCCAUAGACAUCCGGAGAGCUCGUCUGACCAUUUUCCCUUCUUGUUGGUACGGGAUUUCUUGAGGUAGUCGAAAAUAGUUUUGUUGGAUGCUUUGGCUUGCUCAUUGCCUUGAGGAUAUAUUAGCAAGGACAUGUGCUGCUUGAUGCUAUACUUUAAGAAGAACUUCGCCAAAUCUCUGCCCAUGAAUUGCGGGCCGUUGUGGGUGACGAUGGAAUAAGGGAUGCCAAAUUGGCAAAUGAUGUUCCUUCAUUUGAAGUGCUUUAUGUCUGUCUGAAUCGUGGUCGUCAUGGGCUCUGCUUUUACUCAUUUGGUGAAGUAGUCGGUUGCCACGAUCAUCAUACCUCUGCCCCUAGUAGCAAGUGGCAUAGGUCCUACCAGGUCAAUUGCCCACUGCAUGAACAGCCAAUGACUCGUCUGCUGGUGUAGUUCGCUAGCAGGCAGUGCUGAUACCAGCUUGUAACGUUAGCAGCGGCCGCACUUUUGUACUAACUCCUUAUCAUUUUGGUGCAUGGUAGGCCAAUAGUAACUUGUGUCAAGAGCCCUUUGUGCCAAGAAUCGACCUCCAGAAUGAUUUCCAUAAAUGCUUUCAUGGAUUGACCUUAGAACUUUCAAGUCAUCGGGAUGUGCUAAGCAGCGGAGAUGUGGUUCGGUGCAGGAUCUUCGGAUGAGAAUGCCGUUCCACAUGUAGUAGCGUACCCCCUUGAUUUGGAGUUUCCUAGACUCUAAUCUUUCGGUGGGGAGUGUACCGUUGACCCGGUAGUUUAUAAUAGAACUUUGCCAGUUGGGAGUUACACUAACCUGUGACACUUUGGCUGCCGGUUCCAUCUUUAUGUUUAGCUUGUCUAGAUAUUCCACCGAAAUAGAGUGUUUGAAUUGGUGGUCGAGAACGGAGUCCUAAGCAGGCUAGCACAUCUGCAUGGGCGUUGUCUGCUCGGGGAACUUGAGUGAAAGUGUAAGUCUGAAAUGCCUCAAGUUGCUUGCGUACUUUCUCUAGUUAUUACACCAUCCUCGGAUGUUUUUCUGUGUACUCCCCAGUAGUCUGGCUGGUGAUUAGCUGGGAAUAAGAAUGAAUUGCGAGCUUCUUCACCACCAAGUCUUUUGCCAUUCGGAGGCCUACUAGUAGGGCCUCAUACUCUGCUUCGUUGUUAGAUGAUUUGAAGCUUAGAGUGAUCGCCUAUUCAAGCAUUGAGCUGUCUGGGGUGACAAGAACCACGGCUGCUCGCGAGCCUUUGUAGUUGGAUGCACCAUCAAUAUGCAAAUGCCAGAAAUCUCCAUUGAGGGAGUAUGUGCAGCUAAAGUGUGCCUGGUUGCUUUUGAGGCGUCGUUAGGCCGUUCUAUUUCAUUGUCAAGGCUAGACGUGAAGGCGAGGGUAGAGAGCCAUGUAGCUAAAGCCAUGUUACAUGUAGCAAGAGAUGCUCAACUUCCGGUGUUGGGCCACUCUAGAGCUGAAUAAUGGAGCAAGGGUUGGCUAGGGUCGUGUGACGCGCAGCAAAAGGUAGUGCUCAACUAUCGGUACAUGUUGCUCUUAUGUAGAAUCUUAUGGGGCGACGAGGACAAAACUUGCUUCUGAGUGUUCCUUCCAGUGUUCUUCUACCCUUGGCGUGUCUUUUGGGUAGAGUUGUUGCGUUCGUCAGAAAACUUUGCAUCCGCCAAGGUCUACGCCUUUAUCAUCAUGCGUAUGGAUUCAGCGGAAUAGUGUGUCAUGAUGAUGACUGCGUGCUUUUGAAGGUAAAACUUGAGUUUUCGGGUUACAACAACUAUCGCCAAAGUUAUCUUUUGAAUUUCUAAUAACAUUGAGGAGAGCUUUUGAAUUGUAGAAUACAAUGUAGAAUAUUUGAAUUUCUAAUUGCAUCAAUGAGAGUUUUUGAACUGUAGAAUACAGUGUAGAAUACAAAUAGUCGAGCCCCUAGUUAUUCUCGCAUGAUGAUAUAGCUUAUUGCUGCUUUAGAUACUGUCAAACAUACGAAUAAGUCAUCUGCUGCUUCCGGUUUUGAUAGUAGGGAGGUGAUGUCGGGUACUUCUUCAAGUUUUUGAAUGUGCAUUGGCGAGCCUCGUCCCAAAGUGCAUGCUUCUCUACUAGAGUGAAAGAGUUUACCACAUUUAAAUCUUCUUUCAUGAUCAAUUUUCCAAAUAACAGGCUGUCUUUGGAAGGCUGCUAUAGCUAUCGAGUCGUUGCAUCCGACUAUCCUUGACAUUGAAAAAAUGGUUGGACUUCUUUUUUAUCGAGCGAUAGGAUGAAUAUUCUUUGGUGAAAACCAAAGAAAGUUCGUCGAAACUCCGAAUGGAUUGUGGCGGUAGGGUGUAGAACCAAUCUUACGCAUCGCCUUGUAGAGUGGUGGUAAAUAUCUUGCACAUGAGAUCAUCGUUGUUUCGAUAGAGGAUCAUUGCGCUUCGGUAGUGCUUUAAAUGUCUCUCCGAGUCUUUAUCCCCUUUGAAAUAUGUGAAAUGUGGCAUGCUGAACUCGCGUUAAGGCUCUGCCUGCUCGAUCUAGUCCAUGAAGGGUGACCUGCAUAUGUUGGUCAUGUUUCGUCGUAGUGCCUCGUCGGCGAAUAUCUUUACAGGCUGCCUAUUGAACUUGAGCCGGAUUGAGUGACUACUUCUCUCUGUUCGUCGUGCUGCCUGCUCCGAUGUGAGGUGGAUGAUGCUCCUUGCGGGCUUAACCGCGAAUGAACACUUCACCUGGAAAGUUUCUCAUGUUGACUAUCGGAGUGUGACCCCAACUAUGAAUGUAUGCUAGUCUGUGGGCCUAGUCAAGAGUGCACGCUCCUAAGACUGGAGUAUACACUAUCUCGGGGGCCCAAUCAGGAGUGUACAUUGCCCGAACGCUUGGUUCGUGGCUGGUCGAGUGGCUUCUUGCCGGGACACUGCUAGAGAGGUUCUUUGUCUGCCUUUGUCCUACUUCAGGACACCUCAUCUUGGGCAUGUUGCAUCUCAGUGCGCUGCAAGAGUUAGUUCACCAAGGUCGUCUGUUAUGCGAGAGCGCUUGUCAACUUUAUGACUUGUCAAGACAAGUGUUAUUCUCCAUUUAGGUUGGAAUAACUUGAAAGGAAUGCAUCUCCUUGAGGAGUGGAAGUGUGGUAGACUCCGGAUGUGAGAUUUGAGUUGGGAAAUGUCAAAUACCCAGAAACAUGUGGUGAAAAUGCUCCAUGUUCGAUCGUUGGUUCGAAAAUUUGGAGCCGGGACGGUUGAACUAAUUUUGAAUCGAUUCAGGCUACUUGGAAGGCCACGGGAGCAGACUGGGCCGUAGAAGCAGGUUGGGCCAUGAAAGUGGGCUGCUAAAUUGGAGCAGGCUGGGCCACGGGAGUGGGUUGCUCGGCGGGAGCAGGCUGGGCCACCAAAGUGGGCUGCUUGGCUGGAGCAGGCUGGGCCACGGAAGUGGGCUGCUCGGUAGGAGCAGGCUGGGCCACAGGAGUGGGCUGCUUGGUGGGAGUAAGUUAGGUCAAAAGAGUGGGUUGCUUGGUGCGUGAUGCAUGUGAGAGUAAGGCUUGGGCCGUGGCCUUAGUGACGUAAGCCGCCUUGGAUGGCACGGCUCGGGCCGUGGUGGUACCGCUCCACUUAUUGUCGCAUUUAGCCUCAUGGAUCGCCGUGGUCCCAUUCCUUGGAUAUUGGAAUUUUCACUCAUGGAAUUUUCUAAAUUUCCAGCCAUUGUAUUCUUCUUUUACGUUUUAUCAAAGAAUCUUUGCAAAUAAAAAAUUCUAAUAAUAAGAACGUAUGAAAAAAUACAAGUAAACUAGAAAAUGGAGAAAAACCUUUUUUUUAUGCGAGAAUCUUCUACGAGUGUAGAUUUCUUCUCUCAAUGAAAGCACUAAUUUGUGGAUGCAAAUUUCUUCCUCCUUCUUCUUGGACAAAAUUGCACCUACAAAACAAUUAACACCUUAGGGUCAAGACCAAGAGCCUUACGCACCCACGAUGAAUGGGGGGAGCUUUGGCCGAAGAACCUCUGAUACUAAAGUUAGAAUUUAGAGAGAAAAAGUGUUUAGAGAGUUUUUGGAAUUUUGCAAGAGUGUGAACCUCCCUUUUUGGAGAAAAUGGGGUAGCUUAUAUAGAGUAUGGCCGGUCCCCUUUGGAGACAAGGUGGCCGGCCUUUGGGAUGUUUUUUGGGUGUUAUUUGGUGAUUAAUUAGCAAUUAAUAUAUUGAUUAGAAAUAAAUAUAUUAAUUGGCUAAUUAACAUAAUAAAAGGAAUGUUUUUGGGAGGUUAUGGAAUGAAUCAAAUAAAUAGCUAAUUGAUUAGCUAAAAAAUGAAGAAUGAGGUAAAAAAAUAUAUGGAAUGAAAUAGGUUUUGGGAGUUACCAUGUAGAAGGGACUUGAUGAGAUAGGUUUUGAAUUGUUACCUGUUUUGGGCACUUUUGAUUUAGUUGAAGGAUGAUUGCCCACUGCUCGCACGUAGAAAUCCCGUUGUACCUCAAGGGUAUUUUUGUCCUUUUUUGUCCAAAGAUCCACAUGUCGCCUUGUGAUUAUUUUUGGCUCCACAUACUUUAACCACACUUUGAGACCACAUGAUUAUAUAUCAAUUAAUGGUAGGACUACUACUUUAUAUCAUUAAAGAAGAAAUCCAAUCGUCAACUGAUACAUCAUGUUGUCUUCAAAAUAUAGUAUCUCUAGCAUUAUUCAUUGACUUGAUAUUAGAAGGGUAAUUUCUCUUAAUCCUCUUUAAUUUUUGAUUAAAUACUCUCUAUAUUGAUUUAAUAUUGGAAGGUUAACUUCAACAUAGAAAAAAACAUUUAAAGCCUAAAAAAAAUUUAAUUAGCUCACAACUCCAACUAUGUACAACUAUGUAUUAUACCCUCUUGUAAAUAUUGUCUAUUUAUUUUAUUAACAUUUAUGUAAGGCCCAUUCUCACUUAAAAUCCUAACUUCGACAUUGAUCAAAUUGGUUUACAGAUAAAGGUUGAAUCAAUCUAGGUUCAGAGUCAUAAUCAAGACGGAAAGACUUAGCAGUGAUGGAGUUUUCGGCCGAGAAUAAUUUUGAGUAUAAUAAAAAAAAUAUGCCGAGAAAUUGGAAUAGUAUCAGAAUUUUACAACUCAGCUAACUUGGACAUCAUAAAUUCGCCCCCUAUAAAUAUGAGGUUUUUUUUACCAAAGAAAAAAAAAAGACGUUUUGCAACAUAGAGAGCCCCUUCAACCCAAUAAACAACUCAAAAUGCUCAACCCCAAAAACCCCACUCUACGCGAAACCCUGAGAAAAAUAAACUAUGCUAAUCCCUUGUCAACUUAUCUUCAGUAUGGAUAAACAGCUAACAACAUUAUGUUUGAUGCAAGGAAGAACCAAGGGUCUUGAAGAGACGAGGGAUAGAUGACCUGUGAUUCACUCAACUAGGGGCAAAGGAACUUUCUUGACAUCGUUAAUCGUGGAUUCACUCGCACAAUCAAGCCAAAUGCUUGAUUGGAGAAGGAGAAAUCACUCACUUCAAAUGCAAAGGCAAAUAAACUAUUUUUUAUUAAUCAAGUCUCCUAAACAUACAUAUAGAGUCCUUUAAAUAGAGAGAUUACAAUACAUUGGGAGGAUAGAUACUUAAUACUAAGACUAGAGUUACUAAGAACCUAAUAAAACAUAGCUUUGAAAGAUGAGAAGCUGCAAACAAUCAAAAUUCAAUAUAAGAAUUAUAUUUAUUGUCAUACAUUGCAUCAUAUCCUCUUCUCUCGAAAAAACUUGUCCUUGAAUUUUAGUUGACUUUGGUUUUCCCUUGAUCGUUUGGAAGGCCUUUCCUACUUUUCCAUAACAGGUACAAUAGCACAAGAAAUUUAAGAGUGUUCGAAUUCUUGAUCCAUAUUCUUUCUUCAAAUGGAUAAGCGUGAAAUGAAACAUGACUGAAAUGGUGAACAAGGCUUCUCUUCUUCAAAUACUUUCUUCUAACCAAAUCAUCAUGAUAAAGAAAUUUAUCCCAUAUAUAAUCAUGAAUAUCAGAGUAAGAAGUUUUUUCCCAAUAAAGAAGUUGCCCAUUUAAGUUUGAAUUUACCACCUCGCUCAUAAAUUGUAAAGUUUCCUUCAUAUCCACAAUUUUUAGUUGGUGCUCAACAUUCAAGAAACUACCUUCAAGAAUCUUAUUGAUCGCGUGAAUAACAAUAUCAUCUUCAAAGAAAUUAUACAAACUUGAGGAGUAUAACUUGCUUACCACGCUAACAUCCUCAUCAACUUCAUUCACAAAAUGAUCAUUGACUUCAUCGUCAUGACCAUAUUCACCGUAAAUUGGUGAGGAAUUUCAAUAAUCGAAAUUAAUUUCUUCAACCAUUGAUAUUCAAACAAAUGGAAACAUUACCCAUGAACUUCUAACGCAAACGAAAAACCUACUUUGUUGCCACUUGAUGCAAGAAAGAACCAAGGGUUUUGAAAAGACGAGAGAUAGAUGAUAUAGGAUUCACUCAACCAUAGGUGACGGAGCUUGCUUGACAUCACCAUUCAUGGAUUCACUUGCAUGACCAAGCCAAACGCUUGAUUAGAGAAAGAGAAAUCAUUCACUUCAAAUUAGUGCACAAGACAAAUAAACUAUUUUUCAUUAAUCAAGUCUCCUAAACAUACAUAUGUAGUUAUUUUUCAUUAAUCAAGUCUGCUAAACAUACAUAUGUAGUCCUUUAAAUAAAGAGAUUACAAUACAUUGGUAGGAUCGAUACUUAAUACUAAGAUUAUAGUUACGAGAAAUCUAAUAAAACAUAUCUUUGAAAGAUGAGAAGCCAUAAACAAUCAAAUUUAAUAUAAGAACUAUAUUUAUUGUCGUAAAUUGCAUCAGCACUUGAUGUAGGAAAGAAUCAAAGGACCAAGGGAGAUAACCUGGAAUCGCUCAACCAGGGGCAACGAAGCUCACUCGACGUCGCUAAUCAUGGAUUCACUCACACGACCAAGCCAAACGCUUGAUUAGAGAAUGAGAAAUCACUCACUUCAAAUGCACAAGGGAAAUACACUAUUUUUCAUUAAUCAAGUCUCCUAAACAUACAUAUGGAGUCCAUUAAACAGAGAGAUUGCAAUACAUUGGUAGGAUAGAUACUUAAUACUAAGAUUAUAAUUACAAGGGAUCUAAUAAAACAUAGUUUUGGAAGAUGAGAAGCCACAAACAAUCAAAUUUAAUAUAAAAACUAUAUUUAUUGUCGUACAUUACGUAGUUUGCCUGAUUGCUGAACAUCCAACACACAAAUAUAACAUGUUGUCUGUAUUGUACUCUUGAUUAACUUUUCCAUUUCCAAAAGCACAAAAGAGAGAUACUUCACAAAAUUGUGGAGGAACUCCUCUAAAAAUAGUUCAUGGCCAAUUCAUAGAAGCUUGUGUUUAUGAUUAGAACCAUUCAUAUUAUAAAACAUUGUGUAAAAAUUAUCUCUGUAAAAAAUCAAUUAAAACUAGGGUCGUUUAGUUAAUUAAUGUAGUUACUAAAUAGAUUUUUAGUACUUUUAUAUUGAUUAUGACCAUAUGUUUUUAUACAAUAAUGACUAAAUGAUAUCAUAUUUUAUAUUUUUUUUGCAGAAAUAAUGAUAGUUUAUAAUAGGAACAUUUCCAAUCAUAAUAAAAAAAAAAAGUUUCUUGAAUCACCCAUUAACAACUUUGCGUAGGGAUUUCUUGGGCAAUGGGUACAUUCAUUUCAAAGUUUUUGUACAAUUUAAAUUAGCAAGAAAGUUAAAAUCACAACAGAGUAAAAGAAAAUUUAAAGGGUAAAUUACAUAAUACCCCUCAGGUUUGAGGUCUAUUACAACCCCAUACAACAUCUUUAAAAUAUUU
Molecule: long non-coding RNA, 21835 nt
Filed under: Malus domestica (apple)
Lineage: Eukaryota; Viridiplantae; Streptophyta; Magnoliopsida; Rosales; Rosaceae
Description: long non-coding RNA (MDOM_LNC015095)
Source: RNAcentral